GCGAUGGGAUGCGAAUCUCGAAAGCCUGUCUCAGUUCGGAUUGGAGGCUGAAACCCGCCUCCAUGAAGUUGGAUUCGCUAGUAAUCGCGCAUCAGCCAUGGCGCGGUGAAUACGUUCCCGGGCCUUGUACACACCGCCCGUCAAGCCAUGGAAGCUGGGGGUGCCUGAAGUUCGUGACCGGAAGGAGCGACCUAGGGCAAAACCGGUGACUGGGGCUAAGUCGUAACAAGGUAGC
This 235-nucleotide ribosomal RNA is filed under the name uncultured bacterium. Its description in RNAcentral is "partial 16S ribosomal RNA". It matches the Rfam family "Bacterial small subunit ribosomal RNA", at positions 1257 to 1500 of the family's 1533-position model. The record is from RNAcentral.